GAAAGGCCAAUCAAACCUCGUGAUAGCUGGUUCUCUCCGAAAUGCAUUUAGGUGCAGCGUGUUAUUAGUUUUAUAGAGGUAGAGCUACUGAUUGGAUGCGGGGGCUUCAUCGCCUACCAAUUCCUGACAAACUCCGAAUGCUAUAAGAUAUGAUCAGCAGUGAGGGCAUGGGUGCUAAGGUCCAUGUCCGAAAGGGAAAGAACCCAGAUCAUCAGCUAAGGUCCCCAAAUGUGUGUUAAGUUGACAAAACGCGGUCAGAUUGCAUAGACAGCUAGGAUGUUGGCUUGGAAGCAGCCAUUCAUUUAAAGA
Molecule: ribosomal RNA, 309 nt
Filed under: Thalassiosira antarctica
Lineage: Eukaryota; Bacillariophyta; Thalassiosirophyceae; Thalassiosirales; Thalassiosiraceae
Description: partial Bacterial large subunit ribosomal RNA
Rfam family: Bacterial large subunit ribosomal RNA
Source: RNAcentral